This 364-nucleotide long non-coding RNA is filed under the name Lathyrus oleraceus (garden pea). RNAcentral describes it as "Pisum sativum (pea) long non-coding RNA (PSAT_LNC032070)". Lineage: Eukaryota; Viridiplantae; Streptophyta; Magnoliopsida; Fabales; Fabaceae. The record is from RNAcentral.
UUUGCCUUUGUGCUUUUUAAUGAAGUGUUUUUCUCUUUAUUAUUUUCUUUAUUUUUUUAUGCCUUUUUGAUUAUGCCAAAAAGGGGGAGAAAUUAUUAAAUAGCUCUGAUGAAAAUUAUGUCUAAAACCUUAAGCAUUCUGCAACAAUUAUAGAAAUAGUUCUGAUAUAAAUAGCUCUGAUUAAAUAAUAGCUCUGAUUAAAUAACUCUAACUUUAAAGUUAAGCAUUUGCAGAAAGUUUUCAGAAACCUAAUUACUUGGAAAGCUCUGGUAAGAACUUCUGAACUCCCUAGCGCUAACUCAGGGGGAGCUUUUGUCUAUCUGAUCUAAUAUUUUUCAUGUUUCAUCUGAUAAUUUUAUUUGUU